This 496-nucleotide ribosomal RNA is filed under the name uncultured bacterium. RNAcentral describes it as "bacterial SSU rRNA". It matches the Rfam family "Bacterial small subunit ribosomal RNA", at positions 28 to 533 of the family's 1533-position model. The record is from RNAcentral.
GAUGAACGUUGGCGGCGUGCCUAAUACAUGCAAGUCGAACGAAGACUGUAGUAAUACUGUCUUAGUGGCGAACGGGUGAGUAACGCGUGGGUGACCUGCCCCGAAGUGUGGGAUAACAGUCCGAAAGGAUUGCUAAUACUGCAUAAUAUCCAAGAGAUUAGAUGCUUUUGGAUUAAAGGAGUAAUUCGCUUCGGGAGGGGCCCGCGUCCCAUCAGCUAGUUGGUAAGGUAAUGGCUUACCAAGGCGAUGACGGGUAGGGGACCUGAGAGGGUCGGCCCCCCACAAUGGAACUGAAACACGGUCCAUACACCUACGGGUGGCAGCAGUAGGGAAUAUUAGUAAUGGGCGAAAGCCUGAACUAGCAACGCCGCGUGUGCGAAGAACGGCCUUCGGGGUCGUAAAGCUACUUUUUGAGAGGAUGGAGGAGGACGGUACUCUCAGAAUAAGUCUCGGACUUAACUACGUGCCCAGCCAGCCGACGGUAAAAGUGUGUGUA